CCCCAAAAGUUUCUUCAGGUGAAACAAACAAACAAACAAAAGCUCCUCAGCAUAGCUGCAAGAUCCAAUGACAAGAUACAAAAGUCACUAGCAGUCUGACACAGUUUGGCUGUGUCCCCACUCAGAUCUCAUCUUGAAUUGUAGCUCCCAUAAUUCCCACGUCAUGGGAGAGACCCAGUGGAAAGUAAUUAAAUCACAGGGGUGGGUCUUUCUUGUGCUGUUCUUGUGUUAGUGAAGAAGCCUCACAAGAUCUGAUGGUUUUACAAAGCAGUGUUUCCCUAUGCAAGCUCUCU
Molecule: long non-coding RNA, 293 nt
Filed under: Pan troglodytes (chimpanzee)
Lineage: Eukaryota; Metazoa; Chordata; Mammalia; Primates; Hominidae
Description: long non-coding RNA NONPTRT018306
Source: RNAcentral